This 415-nucleotide ribosomal RNA is filed under the name uncultured bacterium. Its description in RNAcentral is "bacterial SSU rRNA". It matches the Rfam family "Bacterial small subunit ribosomal RNA", at positions 355 to 767 of the family's 1533-position model. The record is from RNAcentral.
UGAGGAAUAUUGGUCAAUGGGGGCAACCCUGAACCAGCCAAGUCGCGUGAAGGAUGAAGGUCUUAUGGAUUGUAAACUUCUUUUAUACAGGAACAAAUUGGGGGACGUGUCCCCUUUUGCAUGUACUGUAUGAAUAAGGAUCGGCUAACUCCGUGCCAGCAGCCGCGGUAAUACGGAGGAUCCGAGCGUUAUCCGGAUUUAUUGGGUUUAAAGGGUGCGCAGGCGGGAUGUUAAGUCGGCGGUGAAAUUUUGCAGCUCAACUGUAAAAGUGCCUUCGAUACUGUCCUCCUUGAGUGUGGAUGAAGUAGGCGGAAUUUGUGGUGUAGCGGUGAAAUGCUUAGAUAUCACGAGGAACUCCGAUUGCGCAGGCAGCUUACUAAGCCACAACUGACGCUCAUGCACGAAGGCGUGGGGA